CUCAGCCUCCUUCCAAUCACGCAGUCUCAAUGAUGCCUAAGCCACCACCUCCUGCCCCCGUUGCACCGCGUCCUCCAUCUUACACGCCGCCGGCUCCUCCUCCUUUCGUGAACAGCAGUGGUGGGUCAGGAUCAAACUAUUCGGGCGGUGAACUGCUUCCACCUCCUUCUCCUGGCAUUGCGCUUAGCUUCACAAAGAGCACGUUUACAUACGAAGAGUUGGCGCGUGCUACUGACGGUUUCUCCGAUGCUAACCUCCUCGG
RNAcentral lists this long non-coding RNA (262 nucleotides) under Cicer arietinum (chickpea). Its description in RNAcentral is "long non-coding RNA (CARI_LNC002634)". Lineage: Eukaryota; Viridiplantae; Streptophyta; Magnoliopsida; Fabales; Fabaceae. The record is from RNAcentral.